This 400-nucleotide ribosomal RNA is filed under the name uncultured bacterium. RNAcentral describes it as "bacterial SSU rRNA". It matches the Rfam family "Bacterial small subunit ribosomal RNA", at positions 355 to 749 of the family's 1533-position model. The record is from RNAcentral.
UCGAGAAUUUUUCACAAUGGGGGAAACCCUGAUGGAGCGACGCCGCGUGGGGGAUGAAUGGCUUCGGCCCGUAAACCCCUGUCAUUCGCGAUCAAUGCGCAUUAUUUAAAAGAUGAUGUGUUGAUAGUAGCGGAAGAGGAAGGGACGGCUAACUCUGUGCCAGCAGCCGCGGUAAUACAGAGGUCCCGAGCGUUGUUCGGAUUCACUGGGCGUAAAGGGUGCGUAGGUGGUGAGGUAAGUCGGAUGUGAAAUCUCGGAGCUCAACUCCGAAACGGCAUUGGAAACUACCUUGCUUGAGGGUUGAAGGGGGACUGGAAUUCUCGGUGUAGCAGUGAAAUGCGUAGAUAUCGAGAGGAACACUAGUGGCGAAGGCGAGUCCCUGGACAACACCUGACACUGA